Molecule: long non-coding RNA, 326 nt
Filed under: Olea europaea (common olive)
Lineage: Eukaryota; Viridiplantae; Streptophyta; Magnoliopsida; Lamiales; Oleaceae
Description: long non-coding RNA (OEUR_LNC014686)
Source: RNAcentral
AUGAUCAAAAGAGACAUCAAAUUGAAAUCAAAGCAGUAGGAACCUUGAAAUUGACAGGUAUACAGUUGACUAGAUAAAUGGCUAUCUUAUCCUUAACCGUUCUCAAAAGUAUGACCCUUUCUCCUCCCCAUUGGAUAGCUGCGAGGAUUAUCUUCUUAACUGGUUUCUUCCCAGUUUUGACAUUUACAGCAGCUUCUCUGUAUUCCUGACCUUCUUCUUUGCUUUCUUCGGCCUCUGAUUCAGAUCCCCAGUGAAGUGGAUAGCUCCUUAAGAAAACCCUUCUGGUAUUGUAGUCUUCAUAGCGAAAACUUCUUGCUUUCAUUCCG